AUUUCCCUUGACUAGGAAUCCAAAGCGGGUGCAAGACCUGUACGUGCUGUUAGCUUUUCGUACGCGUUCAUUUCUUGGAGUAGGAUUGUUUGAGAUCGCAGUCCGAAGUAGGUGGUACUCUUCAUCUAAAGCUAAAUAUGACUAUGAAUCCGAUAGCGAACAAGUACCGUGAGGGAAAGUUGCAAAGUACUUUGAAGAGAGAGUUCAAAAGGACGUGAAACCGAUAGGGUGGAAGCAGAUAAAAUUGACGAACGGGUGUCGUAUUCAGGAUUGCAUCUUGUGUGCAGUUUGUUCUUACGGCCGUUGUGGGCUGGCGGCUUUGGUUAAUGCAAUGUGUUUGGCAUCGAAGGUGACCCUGUGGAGGGACUUUCAUUCGUUGUGCGAUUCUUGGUAUAGCUAAGGUUAUCGCCGGUCUUGAAGUCAGUGAUUUAUCUGACCCGUCUUGAAACACGGACCAAGGAGUGUACUGUUUGCGCAAGUCUUAGAGUGUGUUGAAACUUUGAGGCGCAACGAAAGUGAAUAUAGCUGGAUCUAUUGUCUUGGGAUAUGUUGUCUCUUGUGGACGGCAUUGGACCAUGGUUUUAUCGCGAUCGCAUGCGGUGCGGUGAAAAUUGAGCGUAAACAGUGCGA
This 630-nucleotide ribosomal RNA is filed under the name Steinernema sp. eKK26.2_TH. RNAcentral describes it as "eukaryotic LSU rRNA". It matches the Rfam family "Eukaryotic large subunit ribosomal RNA", at positions 184 to 814 of the family's 3401-position model. Lineage: Eukaryota; Metazoa; Nematoda; Chromadorea; Rhabditida; Steinernematidae. The record is from RNAcentral.